This 497-nucleotide ribosomal RNA is filed under the name uncultured bacterium. RNAcentral's name for it is "partial 16S ribosomal RNA". It matches the Rfam family "Bacterial small subunit ribosomal RNA", at positions 28 to 507 of the family's 1533-position model. The record is from RNAcentral.
GAUGAACGCUGGCGGCGUGCCUAAUACAUGCAAGUCGAGCGAACAGACGAGGAGCUUGCUCCUCUGACGUUAGCGGCGGACGGGUGAGUAACACGUGGAUAACCUACCUAUAAGACUGGUAUAACUUCGGGAAACCGGAGCUAAUACCGGAUAAUAUAUUGAACCGCAUGGUUCAAUAGUGAAAGACGGUUUUGCUGUCACUUAUAGAUGGAUCCGCGCCGCAUUAGCUAGUUGGUAAGGUAACGGCUUACCAAGGCAACGAUGCGUAGCCGACCUGAGAGGGUGAUCGGCCACACUGGAACUGAGACACGGUCCAGACUCCUACGGGAGGCAGCAGUAGGGAAUCUGCCGCAAUGGGGGAAAGCAUGACGGAGCAACGCCGCGUGAGUGACGAAGGUCUUCGGAUCGUAAAACUCUGUUAUUAGGGAAGAACAAAUGUGUAAGUAACUAUGCACGUCUUGACGGUAACUAAUCAGGAAGCAACGGCUAACUACGUG